UGCGGGGACCACCCCGUAAGGCUAAAUACUCCUUAGUGACCGAUAGCGCAUAGUACUGUGAAGGAAAGGUGAAAAGGACCCCGGGAGGGGAGUGAAAGAGAACCUGAAACCAUAUGUUUACAAGCUGUGGAAGCGCUUUAUAUGCGCAACCGCGUACUUUUUGUAGAACGGUCCGGCGAGUUACGCCGGCUGGCAAGGUUAAGCACUGAAGGUGCGGAGCCGAAGGGAAACCAAGUCUGAAGAGGGCGCCAAGUCAGCCGGAGUAGACCCGAAACCGGGUGAUCUAUCCAUGUCCAGGUUGAAGUUGCCGUAAAAGGCAAUGGAGGACCGAACCCACAUCCGUUGAAAAGGGUGGGGAUGAGGUGUGGAUAGGGGAGAAAUUCCAAUCGAACCCGGAGAUAGCUGGUUCUCCUCGAAAUAGCUUUAGGGCUAGCCUCAUAUUCAAGUCUUGCGGAGGUAGAGCACUGAAUUUCCUAGGGGGCGUCAAAGCUUACCAAAGAAUAUCAAACUCCGAAUGCCGUGUAGAUGAUGUAUGGGAGUCAGACUGUCCGAGAUAAGUUGGGCAGUCAAAAGGGAAAGAGCCCAGACCUACAGCUAAGGCCCCAAAAUGUGUGUUAAGUGGAAAAGGAUGUGGGAUUUCGAAGACAACUAGGAUGUUGGCUCAGAAGCAGCCAUCCAUUAAAAGAGUGCGUAAUAGCUCACUAGUCGAGAGGUCCUGCGCCGAAAAUGUCCGGGGCUGAAACACACUGCCGAAGCUUGGGAAUUGAUGAAUGUCAAUUGGUAGAGGAGCAUUCUUAACAGCGGCGAAGCUGUACCGUAAGGAGCAGUGGAGCGUUAAGAAGAGAGAAUGCCGGAAUGAGUAGCGAGAGGAAGGUGGGAAUCCUUCCGGCCGAAUAUCUAAGGUUUCCAGAGUAAAGCUGAUCUGCUCUGGGUAAGUCGGGGCCUAAGGCGAGGUCGAAAGACGUAGCCGAUGGACAACAGGUUGAAAUUCCUGUACUAUGAUAUGACAGAACUGUGGGGACGCAGGGAGAGAGCACAUCCCGGGGGUGGAAUACCCGGGGCAAGC
Molecule: ribosomal RNA, 1066 nt
Filed under: Faecalicatena orotica
Lineage: Bacteria; Bacillati; Bacillota; Clostridia; Lachnospirales; Lachnospiraceae
Description: Clostridium oroticum Bacterial large subunit ribosomal RNA
Rfam family: Bacterial large subunit ribosomal RNA
Source: Rfam by way of RNAcentral